CCCCUCCGUCCGGCCCACAGCGAAGGUCACAAUCAACAUUCAUUGUUGUCGGUGGGUUGUGAGGACGGCAGACCCGCCGGGAGAUGAAUGUCACUGUGGCUGGGUCAGACGCGGC
This 115-nucleotide microRNA precursor is filed under the name Dasypus novemcinctus (nine-banded armadillo). Its description in RNAcentral is "miRNA (ENSDNOG00000044791.1)". The record is from RNAcentral. Lineage: Eukaryota; Metazoa; Chordata; Mammalia; Cingulata; Dasypodidae.